RNAcentral lists this ribosomal RNA (497 nucleotides) under uncultured bacterium. RNAcentral describes it as "partial 16S ribosomal RNA". It matches the Rfam family "Bacterial small subunit ribosomal RNA", at positions 28 to 507 of the family's 1533-position model. The record is from RNAcentral.
GAUGAACGCUGGCGGCGUGCCUAAUACAUGCAAGUCGAGCGAACAGACGAGGAGCUUGCUCCUCUGACGUUAGCGGCGGACGGGUGAGUAACACGUGGAUAACCUACCUAUAAGACUGGGAUAACUUCGGGAAACCGGAGCUAAUACCGGAUAAUAUAUUGAACCGCAUGGUUCAAUAGUGAAGGACGGCUUUGCUGUCACUUAUAGAUGGAUCCGCGCCGCAUUAGCUAGUUGGUAAGGUAACGGCUUACCAAGGCAACGAUGCGUAGCCGACCUGAGAGGGUGAUCGGCCACACUGGAACUGAGACACGGUCCAGACUCCUACGGGAGGCAGCAGUAGGGAAUCUUCCGCAAUGGGCGAAAGCCUGACGGAGCAACGCCGCGUGAGUGAUGAAGGUCUUCGGAUCGUAAAACUCUGUUAUUAGGGAAGAACAAAUGUGUAAGUAACUAUGCACGUCUUGACGGUACCUAAUCAGAAAGCCACGGCUAACUACGUG